GGGGCGUGUAGGCGUUGACAUGUAAGCCCCGGUCGUCUACCCUCCGUGCCCUAUGGGGGUCCGUGGACGGGGCAGCACUCACGGUCAACGGCACUGCCCAUACACUCAGUCCACCCUGGCGGGGACCUCACCAAUGACCUCCAUGAAAACAGGGUCCCAGACAAGCCAGUUGGUCUGAAGGCCGUGGCGCUGACUGACCACAUCAGGGUGUGCUGGCAGCCCCCCGCACAGCACAAUGUGCUGCUGUGCAGCUACACCAUUGCCUGGGACCAAGGCGUGGCGGACAUCUACUCCAAGAUCGUGGACAGCAAGCAGCACGGUUACAUCAUUGAUA
Molecule: long non-coding RNA, 334 nt
Organism: Eriocheir sinensis (Chinese mitten crab)
Lineage: Eukaryota; Metazoa; Arthropoda; Malacostraca; Decapoda; Varunidae
Exons: 3
Source: RefSeq, a predicted model, not a curated record